RNAcentral lists this ribosomal RNA (1276 nucleotides) under 'Chrysanthemum morifolium' phyllody phytoplasma. RNAcentral describes it as "bacterial SSU rRNA". It matches the Rfam family "Bacterial small subunit ribosomal RNA", at positions 166 to 1438 of the family's 1533-position model. Lineage: Bacteria; Bacillati; Mycoplasmatota; Mollicutes; Acholeplasmatales; Acholeplasmataceae. The record is from RNAcentral.
AGACUGGAUAGGAAACAAAAAGGCAUCUUUUUGUUUUUAAAAGACCUUCUUACGAAGGUAUGCUUAAAGAGGGGCUUGCGCCACAUUAGUUAGUUGGUAGAGUAAAAGCCUACCAAGACGAUGAUGUGUAGCUGGACUGAGAGGUUGAACAGCCACAUUGGGACUGAGACACGGCCCAAACUCCUACGGGAGGCAGCAGUAGGGAAUUUUCGGCAAUGGAGGAAACUCUGACCGAGCAACGCCGCGUGAACGAUGAAGUAUUUCGGUAUGUAAAGUUCUUUUAUUGAAGAAGAAAAAGUAGUGGAAAAACUAUAUUGACGUUAUUCAAUGAAUAAGCCCCGGCUAACUAUGUGCCAGCAGCCGCGGUAAGACAUAGGGGGCGAGCGUUAUCCGGAAUUAUUGGGCGUAAAGGGUGCGUAGGCUGUUAGAUAAGUCUAUAAUUUAAUUUCAGUGCUUAACGCUGUCUUGUUAUAGAAACUGUCUUGACUAGAGUGAGAUAGAGGCAAGCGGAAUUCCAUGUGUAGCGGUAAAAUGUGUAAAUAUAUGGAGGAACACCAGAAGCGUAGGCGGCUUGCUGGGUCUUUACUGACGCUGAGGCACGAAAGCGUGGGUAGCAAACAGGAUUAGAUACCCUGGUAGUCCCCGCCGUAAACGAUGAGUACUAAGUGUCGGGGUAAAACUCGGUACUGAAGUUAACACAUUAAGUACUCCGCCUGAGUAGUACGUACGCAAGUAUGAAACUUAAAGGAAUUGACGGGACUCCGCACAAGCGGUGGAUCAUGUUGUUUAAUUCGAAGAUACACGAAAAAUCUUACCAGGUCUUGACAUACUCUGCAAAGCUAUAGAAAUAUAGUGGAGGUUAUCAGGGAUACAGGUGGUGCAUGGUUGUCGUCAGUUCGUGUCGUGAGAUGUUAGGUUAAGUCCUAAAACGAACGCAACCCUUGUCGUUAAUUGCCAGCACAUAAUGGUGGGGACUUUAACGAGACUGCCAAUUAAACAUUGGAGGAAGGUGAGGAUUACGUCAAAUCAUCAUGCCCCUUAUGAUCUGGGCUACAAACGUGAUACAAUGGCUGUGACAAAGAGUAGCUGAAACGCGAGUUUUUAGCCAAUCUCAAAAAAGCAGUCUCAGUUCGGAUUGAAGUCUGUAACUCGACUUCAUGAAGUUGGAAUCGCUAGUAAUCGCGAAUCAGCAUGUCGCGGUGAAUACGUUCUCGGGGUUUGUACACACCGCCCGUCAAACCACGAAAGUUAGCAAUGCCCGAAAGCAGUAGCUUAA